AUUGAACGCUGGCGGCAUGCCUUACACAUGCAAGUCGAACGGUAACAGGUCUUCGGACGCUGACGAGUGGCGAACGGGUGAGUAAUACAUCGGAACGUGCCCAGUCGUGGGGGAUAACUACUCGAAAGAGUAGCUAAUACCGCAUACGAUCUGAGGAUGAAAGCGGGGGACCUUCGGGCCUCGCGCGAUUGGAGCGGCCGAUGGCAGAUUAGGUAGUUGGUGAGAUAACAGCCCACCAAGCCGACGAUCGGUAGCCGGACUGAGAGGUUGAUCGGCCACAUUGGGACUGAGACACGGCCCAG
This 302-nucleotide ribosomal RNA is filed under the name uncultured bacterium. RNAcentral describes it as "bacterial SSU rRNA". It matches the Rfam family "Bacterial small subunit ribosomal RNA", at positions 30 to 334 of the family's 1533-position model. The record is from RNAcentral.